RNAcentral lists this ribosomal RNA (789 nucleotides) under uncultured bacterium. Its description in RNAcentral is "bacterial SSU rRNA". It matches the Rfam family "Bacterial small subunit ribosomal RNA", at positions 125 to 919 of the family's 1533-position model. The record is from RNAcentral.
UCUACCUAGUAGUGGGGGACAACAGCCGGAAACCUGCUAAUACCGCAUACGCCCUACGGGGAAAGCGGGGGAUCUUCGGACCUCGUGCUAUUAGAUGAGCCCGCGUUGGAUUAGCUAGAUGGUGGGGUAAAAGCCUACCAUGGCGACGAUCCAUAGCUGGUCUGAGAGGAUGAUCAGCCACAUUGGGACUGAGACACGGCCCAAACUCCUACGGGAGGCAGCAGUGGGGAAUAUUGCACAAUGGGCGCAAGUGAUGCAGCCAUGCCGCGUGUGUGAAGAAGGCUCUAGGGUUGUAAAGCACUUUCAGUGGGGAGGAAAGGUUAAUAAUUAAUACUUAUUAGCUGUGACGUUACCCACAGAAGAAGCACCGGCUAACUCCGUGCCAGCAGCCGCGGUAAUACGGAGGGUGCAAGCGUUAAUCGGAAUUACUGGGCGUAAAGCGCGCGUAGGGGCUGUCUAAGCUAGAUGUGAAAGCCCUGGGCUCAACCUGGGAACUGCAUUUAGAACUGGGCAGCUAGAGUACAGCAGAGGGGUGUGGAAUUUCAGGUGUAGCGGUGAAAUGCGUAGAGAUCUGAAGGAACAUCAGUGGCGAAGGGACACCCUGGGUUGAUACUGACGCUGAGGUGCGAAAGGUGGGGAGCAAACAGGAUUAGAUACCCUGGUAGUCCACGCCGUAAACGAUGUCUACUAGCCGUUGGGGUCCUUGAGGCCUUAGUGGCGCAGUAACGCAAUAAGUAGACCGCCUGGGGAGUACGGCCGCAAGUUAAAACUCAAAUGAAUUGACGGGGG